Molecule: long non-coding RNA, 7040 nt
Filed under: Gossypium barbadense (sea-island cotton)
Lineage: Eukaryota; Viridiplantae; Streptophyta; Magnoliopsida; Malvales; Malvaceae
Description: long non-coding RNA (GBAR_LNC013876)
Source: RNAcentral
CACAAAAUCCAAAAGGAAUUAGGAAUCUUCAAAUUCGUCGGCCCAAACGUCACCCUUUUUCAGUGCUUCUCAUCAUUUAUAAAAACACUUCGAUUUCCUUUCUUUACUCCAAAUCCGACGUUCGUAAAAAAAGACCAGGUGAACUACCUACGCGCCGCCGUCACCACCAUGUCACAGCCUCAUUUCCUCCUAGUGACCUUCCCUGCACAAGGCCACAUAAACCCAACCUUACAAUUUGCCAAGCAUCUUAUACGUAUUGGCGUACGUGUAACUUUCAUCACCUGCAUCUCCGCUCGCCGCCGCAUGAGCAAAGUCCCCACUGCUCAAGGCCUAACGUUUUUACCCUUUUCCGAUGGCUACGACGACGGUUUUCAACCCGGCGAUGACAUAGACCAUUACCUAUCUGAAUUCAGGCGACGAGGCAAAGAAGCCAUCUCCGAGUUUAUAACAAGCAGUGAAAACGAAGGCAAACCCGUCACUUGCAUUGUCUACACCCUGUUCAUCCAUUGGGCCUCGGAGGUGGCGCGUAAACAUCACAUCCCGACAGCUUUACUUUGGAUUCAACCCGCCACCGUUUUCGACAUCUAUUAUUUUUACUUCAACGGAUACGAAACUACCUUUAAAGCUCAAGCUGAUGAAACAAACCCCCAGCGUUCAAUAAAAUUACCAGGUCUGCCGCUACUCGCCACCCGCGACCUUCCGUCGUUCCUAACCGCUUUAAACGUUUACCGUUGGGCACUGUCGUUAAUCCAAGAAAAAAUGGACGUCCUCGCUGAUGAAUCCAACCCCAAAAUCCUUGUUAACACAUUCGAUGCUUUGGAACACGAAGCAUUAAACGCCAUUGAAAAUUUCAACAUGGUCGGCAUCGGACCUUUAAUCCCAUUUUCUUUCUUGAACUCAAAUGACUCCUUGGAUAAUUCCUUGAGAACCGAUCUUUUUCAAUCCGAUUCAAAAGAUUACCUCCAAUGGUUAGACUCGAAACCAAAAUCGGCCGUCGUUUACGUUUCCUUCGGGAGCAUUGCGGUGUUAACGAAGCAACAAGUGGAGGAAAUCGCUCGAGCUUUAAUAUCCAGCCGGCGACCGUUUUUAUGGGUGGUGAGGAACCGGAAAGAUGGAGGCUACGAAGAGAAAGAAGAAGAUAAACUGACUUGCAGGGAAGAAUUGGAACAGUUUGGGAUGGUGGUUCCAUGGUGUUCGCAAGUGGAAGUACUGUUUCAUCCAUCCUUGGGUUGCUUCGUGACGCAUUGUGGGUGGAACUCGACGUUGGAGAGCAUGGUGGCCGGUGUACCAGUGGUGGCUUUCCCUCAAUGGACGGAUCAAAGGACUAAUGCGAAGCUGAUUGAAGAUGUGUGGGGGAAUGGGGUAAGAGUGAGUGCUAAUGAAGAAGGGAUCGUGGAACGGGAUGAGAUCGUUAGGUGCUUGGAUUUGGUGAUGGGGGAUGAUGAGAAAGGGAUGGAAGUGAAGAAAAAUGUAGAGAAAUGGAAAGGGUUAGCCACUGGAGCCGCCAUGGAAGGCGGCUCCAUGGAUAUGAACCUUAAAGCUUUUGUGGAUGAUAUUGCUGAAGGUUGUCGUAAGUAAAAUUAUCACUUUCAAAUCAAUUCAAUGUUUCAAUUCAAUUACCUGUAAUGUACUAUGCGUGCAAUUAUAGAUUUAAUAUAUAUUCUUUAAUUGAAUCAUUUUAAGUCACUAUUUUUUUCGAAUUCUAAAAUUUCCAUCUCGACACAAAUGAUAGUCACUAAUCCAUUAACUAAAAUUUCAAUAAGUAAUAUGUGAAAAUCGCAAACUGAAAUGCUAUUACACAUAUCAUAAUAUGUUUUGUUGCAUUAAAUUUUGAAAAUAACAGAAUUUAAUGAAUUUAACAAUUAUCGUUUAGUAAAGACUGAAAUUUUAAAAUUUUAAAAGUAAUAGAAUUAAAAAUAACCCAAUUAAAGUAUAAAUAUUAAAUCUACAAUUUUUAUAAAGUAAGACCAAUAAUAAAAUUUAAUAUUGUUUUUUUCUUGAAAGAAAUUGGAAGUGACCAUUAAGUACAAUAUGUGAUAGGGAUGGGAGAAUAUGAAUGGUGUGAUAGAUUUUGAAUGUAGGAAACAAACUUUUUUGAAAUGUGGUUGUAAGAUGGAGUGGGUUGGAUUUUUGUGUGUGUGGUCAAUGUGUAAUUCUUUGCCUUUAUAAAAGUAUCAUUUUAUCCAUUUAAUAUGUAUAACUAUUUAAAUAUGUAGAAAUGUGAAAAUGUAUUAUAGAAAAGCCUUUAUUUUUAAUUAAUGAGCUCUAACCGAUGAUUUAACAAUCAUAUGGUGGAUUAGUACUCAUCGACGAGUAGAGGAAAUCGCUUGAGCUUUAUUAUCCAGCUGACAACCGUUUUUAUGGGUGGUGAGGAACUGGAAAGAUGGAGGCUACGAAGAGAAAGAAGAAGAUAAACUGACUUGCAGGGAAGAAUUGGAACAGUUUGGGGUGGUGCUUCCAUGGUGUUUGCCAGUGGAAGUAUUGUCUCAUCGUCGUUGGAUUGCUUCGUGACACAUUGUGGGUGAAACUCGACGUUGGAAAGCAUGGUGGCCAUUGUACCAGUGGUGGCUUUCCCUCAAUGGACGGAUCAAGGGACUAAUGCGAAGCUGAUUGAAGAUGUGGGGGGAAUGGGGUGAGAGUGAGUGCUAAUGAAGAAGGGAUCAUGAAACGUGAUGAGAUUGUUAGGUGCUUGGGUUUGGUGAUGGGGGAUGAGGAGAAAGGGAUGCAAGUGAAGAAGAAUGUUGUGAAAUGGAAAGGGUUAGCGGAGAGGCCGCCAUGGAAGGUGGUUCCUUGGAUAUCAACCUUAAAGUUUUUGUGGAUGAUGUUGCUCAAGGUUGUUGCAAGUAAAUUUAUCUUUUCAUAUAAUUAUCUCCAUUUAUAUUUCGAAUUCUUAAAUCAAGAAAUAAUAUUUUUAAAAACGAUCAAAUUCCUCUUAACUGUUGUAAUAAUAAUAAUAAUAAUAUCAAAUUAAUGAUCUAAAAUUCGAUGGAAUGUUACAAAUAAAUUUCUAAUUUAUGUUUGUAUUAAAUUUAUGCUUAAAUUAAUUUUGGCCUAUGGUGUAAGUUUUUUUUAAAAAAAUUUUAAUGGCCAAAUUUAAUUAAUAACAUCAACAAUUGAAUUUUAAAUUUUAAGUCAAACUAAGAGACUAAAAUUUAAAAAUUAAAAGUAGUGGAUUAAAUUUUUAAAAAAAUUGCAAAAGAGUACAAGAAUUGGAGGUAUACUUAAAAAAAAUAUUAAAAUUUUCUUUUCUCCUCCAAUAAUAGAAUCUAAAGCUACGCACCUUUAUAAAAAUUAAAAAAAGAAUUAAUUGUCCAAGAUAAAUAUUAAAUAAUAAUAUUUAUGGACUUGAGUACAUGAAAUUUAUUGUUGGUCAUUUAAUUUAUCAUUUAACAAUUACUUUUGUUUUGGCUAUUGAGAAAAUUUUCUAGCCCUUAUAAUGUGUAUAUAUAUAUCUCCAUAUUAUUGGAUGUGUUUCUUUUUAUUAAAUUACAUAGCCUAAGGUUGCUUAUUGCGAUUAUGGUAAUUUGCUGCACCAUCCCCUGACUAAUUCUUCUCAUUUUUAGUGUUAGCAUUCUCCUACUUAAAAUCAGGGUCUCAUGUUGCUUUUUGAGCGUCAUUAUACCAUUCUCCUCUUUAACCCGCCGAAAAAUUCUGCUUUCGAUUCUGGAGAAGCUGCCACCCUUGAAGUCAAAAGUACCCUGUCAGCUUCCAAAGAUGCUGCCUCAUCAAAAGCCUUCUCCUCUUGUCCUACUACAAAUUGGAUUGAGAGCACCAAAGCCAUUGAGAACACAACCAAAAAAACCUUCACAAUCUUUUUUUAUUUUCUAAAAUGGUUAAGAAAAAAAAGUAAACAUAUAUUUUUAUUUAUGCUUAAGGUUGAAAAUGAGACGAAAUUUAAAGAGUUUAAAAUGAGAUAUUUUGGGCGAAUUUAGGGGUGGUUGACUAGUCUAGUGCCUAAUAACCAUACACGACAAAAAUACAUAUAACUGUUCUCCACAUUUUCAAUGGUCAUGUUUGUCACAAUUUUUGGUGGUUUAAAUUUACUUCUUUUUGUUUCACUCGAAUACGUUGUGGGUGAUCGUUUAAAUUUUUUUAUUUUAUAAUUUUCACAUAUUUUUUUCAUUUAUUUAAAAUUUCAACCAAACAAAUUUUCUCAAUUUUUUUUUCUACUUUUAGGAAAACAAAAAGAAAAAGAAAUCUUUAAUUUCUGAACCUAAAUAUACCCUAAACCUUUGCCUCCGACUCAUAAGAUAUUAAGAAUAAGGUAAUUAUUUGGUACACACCAAAUGUAAAUUUUUUAUUAAGUUGGGAUUUUGCCUCUUAUCAUAUAUAUAUAUAUAUAAUAUAAUUUUUUGAAUAUAAAUUAAAGAAGAAAUAAUAAAAUCUCAACUUGAUUUAUGAAAUAAAAGCCUUUCACCGUCCUACCGAACGAACAUUUCCCCUCGUUGUAUCACAAUAAUCAUUGUAAUCAUAAUGACAAUCAUAAUGACAAAAGAAAGAAAAAGCUGUGGGGUAUGAUAUUCACUACCCUCCAAUUAUGAGACUUAUAAUAGAGGGGAAUUAAGAAAAAAAAUUUUAGAGUCGAAAUUAAAUAGUAAUUUUUAUGGUAGUAAAAAUAUAAAUUUUAAAGGAUUAAAUUAAAAUUUUAUUGUUAAAAAAAAAGUUAAAGUGCAACUUUUCUUUUACUAAUUUAAAAUUUUAAAAUUUUUUAAAAAGUCUAAAAAAUAAAUGAUAAUAGAAUAAUUCUAAAAUCUUUGUCAUAUGCGCCAACUUGAGUUUUUGCGUCAAAUAUUUCGUGCUAUUUGUAUAUCCGCUCAUUUCUUGACACAUUACAUAAUAAUUAUAACUACUUAUAACAUGAUUAAAUUCCACGUUCUUAAAAGUAGAUUAACUACCUACGCGCCGCCGUCACCACAAAAUAUUUUAUAUUCGGUUUUGCAAUUGCUUUUAACUUCGGUCACAAACAAAAUUUUUUACUUACACAAACAAAAUUUUUUACUUAGUUAUUAAUAAUAAAAGUGGAUUAUUUUAUUAAAAAAUAAUUUAUAUUUUAUUUACGUUGUAUAAUAAUUAUAUCUACAUAAAAAAUAAUCGAUUAAAUUUCAAAUUACGUAAAAUUUAUUUCCAAAAUUAAUUAAUAUAAUUCAUAAAAAUACUUCGUAUUAUCAAUGUGUCAACUUAGUUUAAUGUCAAACUUAAAAAAAUGUAUAAUGUGAACAUGGCUAAAAAUUUUCUUUUUUAGAUAAAACCUUAAAAUAAUAUUUUACGGAUUUUUACUUAUAUAAUAUAAAAAAUUGAAAUUAAUAACUAAAAUAGCAUGCCCAUGAGAUUAUUUACCAAAAUGGUAUGUUUACUAUGGUGUUUUACUGGUGCCUCUUGUCAAAUUAGCAGUACCAAACUGAAAUGUAAUGAUCUAAAGUAUUUAGGGAUCGCAAAUUUUUCAUUUUGAGUGGUUGUUGGAGACAAAAGUGAAAUGGUGUCGAAUGUCAGUAGUGUUGUGGAACUAGACCUUAAAUGUGGCUAAUUUGCUUGCAAGCCCUCAUUAUUUGUUAUUUUCUUUUUAUUCCCUUUCAACUCACUACAUUGAGUUUAAACAAACCCUUAACUUAUUUUUGUAGUUAAAUAAGUCCUUAACUUGAUUUUUACUCAUAAAAUCCCUUUAUUUUAAUAUUAAAGUAAAUAUGUUAUACCCAUAUUAAAGGGCUUUUUAGUAUUUUAGCCCUGCUAGACUAUAUGUUGUUGAACCUGACACUUACAUUGCAGAAAUUGUUUGAUUAUUUUCAAUGCAUAAGAACCAAUGAAAACAUAGAUGGAAUGCUAAUAUACUAAAAAAUGUUUAAACAAGCUUUUAUACUGUUUUUGUAGUUAAAUAGGCCCUCAAAUUAUGAUUUUUACCCAUAAAAGUCCUAAAUUUUAAUAUUAAAGUAAAACUAUUUAAAAAAUAUAUAAACUAAUUCGUAUUUUAUGUUGAUAUGAAUUUGAUGAGAAUAGUUUAUUAAAUAAAAAAUAAAAAAUUAAAAUUUGUUUAGAGUGCUUAUAUACAUGACAUGCUUAAUUACUAUUCUGAAAUUUCUGAUUACUUUUUUAGAUUUUAUGUUUAUGUUAAAUUGUAUAUAAUUUUUAUUGCAUCAACAAGAAAUUAAGAUAAGAGCUUGAAAUUCAAAAUAUAUUUACUUUAAUAUUAAAAUAAAGAGCUUUUAUGAGUAAAACCUAUUGGUUAAGAGCUUAUUUAACUACAAAAAAAAGUUAAGGGCUUGUUUAAAUACGAUAUAAUGAGUUGAAGGGGAAUAAAAAGAAAAUAAUAUAUAAUGAUGGUUUACAAGGCAAUUAGCCACAUUUAAGCAGCACCAUUUCACUUCUUUUUCCGGUAGUCACUUAAAAUGGGAAUUUGCACUUCAAAUCCCUAAAUACUUUAAAUUAUUACAUUUCAGUCUGAUACCACCUGACACCAACAAAACAGUACAAUAACAGACAUACCAUUUUGAUGUAUAUAUAUUCGGUUUUGCUAUUGUUUUUAACUUCGGCUUUUAAUUUGUCACAAAAUUUUUGGAUAAUUUUUUUAAAAAAUUAAUUAUAUUUUAAUUUAACAUAUAGAAAUUAAUGAGUCCCUACAACAAGAAUGUGUGUGAUGACAACGUGAUGACUGUUUCUCCACGAAUUAGGAAUCUUCAAAUUCGUCAGGCCAAACGUCACCCUUUCAGUGCUUCUCAUCAUUUAUAAAAACACUUCGAUUUCCUUUCUUAGUUACUCCAAAUCCGAUGUUAGUAAAAAAAGACCAGGUGAACUACCUACGCGCCGCCGUCACCACCAUGUCACAGCCUCAUUUCCUCCUAGUGACCUUCCCUGCACAAGGCCACAUAAACCCAACCUUACAAUUUUCCAAGCAUCUUAUACGUAUUGGCGUACGUGUAACUUUCAUCACCUGCAUCUCCGCUCGCCGCCGCAUGAGCAAAGUCCACACUGCUCAAGGCCUAACGUUUUUACCCUUUUCCCAUGGCUACAACGACGGUUUUCAACCCGGCGAUGACAUAGACCAUUAC